RNAcentral lists this ribosomal RNA (406 nucleotides) under uncultured bacterium. Its description in RNAcentral is "partial 16S ribosomal RNA". It matches the Rfam family "Bacterial small subunit ribosomal RNA", at positions 30 to 526 of the family's 1533-position model. The record is from RNAcentral.
AUUGAACGCUGGCGGCAGGCCUAACACAUGCAAGUCGAACGAGUGGCGGACGGGUGUGUAAUGUCUGGGAAACUGCCUGAUGGAGGGGGAUAACUACUGGAAACGGUAGCUACUCCCGCAUACCAUCGGAUGUGCCCAGAUGGGCUUGGCUAGUGGGUGGGGUAAAGGCUCACCUAGGCGACGAUCACUAGCUGGUCUGAGAGGAUGACCAGCCACACUGGAACUGAGACACGGUCCAGACUCCUACGGAAGGCAGCAGUGGGGAAUAUUGGACAAUGGGCGCAAGCUGGAUGCAGCCAGGCCGCGUGGAUGAAGAAGGCCUUCGGGUUGUAAAGUACUUUCAGCGGGGAGGCGUUACCCGCAGAAGAAGCACCGGCUAACUCCGUGCCAGCAGCCGCGGUAAUUC